This 330-nucleotide ribosomal RNA is filed under the name uncultured bacterium. Its description in RNAcentral is "bacterial SSU rRNA". It matches the Rfam family "Bacterial small subunit ribosomal RNA", at positions 568 to 898 of the family's 1533-position model. The record is from RNAcentral.
CGCGUAGACGGUUUUGUAAGUCAGAUGUGAAAUCCCUGGGCGUCAACCUGGGAACUGCAUUUGAAACUGCAUGGCUAGAGUAUGGUAGAGGGAAGUGGAAUUUCCGGUGUAGCGGUGAAAUGCGUAGAUAUCGGAAGGAACACCAGUGGCGAAAGCGACUUCCUGGACCAAUACUGACGUUCAUGUGCGAAAGCGUGGGAGCAAACAGGAUUAGAUACCCUGGUAGUCCACGCCAUAAACGAUGACAACUAGAUGUUGGGAGGUCUGCCUCUCGGUGUCGCAGCUAACGCGUUAAGUUGUCCGCCUGGGGAGUACGGCCGCAAGGUUGAA